UACGUAGGGUGCGAGCGUUAAUCGGAAUUACUGGGCGUAAAGCGUGCGCAGGCGGCGCGUUAAGACAGGUGUGAAAGCCCCGAGCUUAACUUGGGAAUUGCGCUUGUGACUGGCGUGCUGGAGUGUGGCAGAGGGAGGUGGAAUUCCACGUGUAGCAGUGAAAUGCGUAGAGAUGUGGAGGAACACCGAUGGCGAAGGCAGCCUCCUGGGCCAGCACUGACACUCAUGCACGAAAGCGUGGGGAGCAAACAGG
Molecule: ribosomal RNA, 253 nt
Filed under: uncultured bacterium
Lineage: Bacteria
Description: partial 16S ribosomal RNA
Rfam family: Bacterial small subunit ribosomal RNA
Source: RNAcentral